This 306-nucleotide ribosomal RNA is filed under the name Triticum aestivum (bread wheat). Its description in RNAcentral is "partial small subunit ribosomal RNA". The record is from RNAcentral. Lineage: Eukaryota; Viridiplantae; Streptophyta; Magnoliopsida; Poales; Poaceae.
AUGGAGAAGAUGCUCUGCUCCAACCCUCCUUGCCUCCUACUAGAAGAUGUCUUUUUUGUGUGUGCUUGUAUUGCAGCAGCCAUGUGCGUAUCAAAAAAAGGGUCCAGUUUGCAGCAGUCACAUGAUGUGGACAUGUUUUUUCAUCACAAUUGGAUUUUUGGAUUUACUAGGCUAAUUGGUUGUUGUUGUUGUUGUUGUUGUUGUUUUAGCAGCAGCAGCAGCAGGCCGAGUGACGGUGGUGGCUGUGUGCAGGCCAUGGAGGCGAUGAUGAGCAUGAGGGGAAGGCUGCUGCUUCAACCCCGUUAA